GACGAACGCUGGCGGCGUGCUUAACACAUGCAAGUCGAACGAAGUGGCGAACGGGUGAGUAACGCGUAAUCAACCUGCCCUUCAGAGGGGGACAACAGUUGGACACGACUGCUAAUACCGCAUACGGAAGGUGGGGAUGGCGUCUGAUUAGCUAGUUGGGGGGGUAACGGCCCACCAAGGCGAUGAUCAGUAGCCGGUCUGGGAGGGUUAACGGCCCAAUUGGGACCGGGACACGGCCCCGACUCCUACGGGAGGCCGCAGUGGGGGAUCUUCCGCAAUGGACGAAAGUCUGGCGGGGCAACGCCGCGUGGGGGAUGACGGCCUUCGGGUUGUAAAGCUCUGUUAAUCGGGACGCGGUACCGGAAUAGAAAGCCACGGCUAACUACGUGCCAGCAGCCGCGGUAAUUC
Molecule: ribosomal RNA, 408 nt
Filed under: uncultured bacterium
Lineage: Bacteria
Description: partial 16S ribosomal RNA
Rfam family: Bacterial small subunit ribosomal RNA
Source: RNAcentral